GGAGGUCACUGCUAUUGGGAUUCGGCUAAGCCAUGCAAGCGGAGGGCGCGGUCGAAAGAUCGUGGCCCCGCACACUGCUCAGUAACACGUAGUCAACCUACCCUUGGGACGGGGACAACCUCGGGAAACUGAGGCUAAUCCCCGAUAGGUGAGGGACGCUGGAAUGCCUCCUCGCCCAAAGCUCCGGCGCCCAAGGAUGGGACUGCGGUCUAUCAGGCUGUUGGUGGUGUAACGGACCACCAAACCUACGACGGGUACGGGCGAUGGGAGUCGGAGCCCGGAGAUGAGGACUGAGACAAGGCCCCAGGCCCUACGGGGCGCAGCAGGCGCGAAAACUCCGCAAUGCGCGCAAGCGUGACGGGGGAAUCCCAAGUGCCGUUGGUCUUAUGAUCGACGGUUUUUAGGAAGUCUAAGAAGCUUCCAGAAUAAGGGCUGGGCAAGACUGGUGCCAGCCGCCGCGGUAAUACCAGCAGCCCAAGUGGUGACCACGAUUAUUGGGCCUAAAGCGCUCGUAGCCGGAUCAGCAAGUCCCUUGUGAAAUCGGGCCGCCUAACGGUUCGNCGUGCAANGNAUACUGUUGGUCUUGAGGCCGGGAGAGGUCGGAGGUACUCCUGGGGUAGCGGUGAAAUGCUCUAAUCCUANGGGGACCACCAGUGGCGANNCGUCCGAC
Molecule: ribosomal RNA, 670 nt
Filed under: uncultured archaeon
Lineage: Archaea
Description: bacterial SSU rRNA
Rfam family: Archaeal small subunit ribosomal RNA
Source: RNAcentral